UGAUACCCAAAUGGACGGCGGAGGUCUUUCUUUACUCGGCGGCGGCGGCAGUGGUUGUGGUGGGUUAUCUGCUAAUUCCACCAAUGUCUCCACGGUGGUGGAUGCCGAUCAGACCGAUGACCACCUGGAGCUGGGUCUUGGUCUCAGCCUCGGCGGCAGCGCUGGAAAGGGCAAAUUAACAAGUGGAUGGGGCGAGUGUGGGAGAAUCCUCACUGCCAAGGAUUUUCCUUCUCAUGGAAGCAACAAGAAGCCUUGUUCGUCUAAUUCCCCUUUCGGUGGUGGUGCUGCUACUAAGAAGAGAGCUGCUGACUCUGU
RNAcentral lists this long non-coding RNA (315 nucleotides) under Linum usitatissimum (flax). Its description in RNAcentral is "long non-coding RNA (LUSI_LNC001021)". The record is from RNAcentral. Lineage: Eukaryota; Viridiplantae; Streptophyta; Magnoliopsida; Malpighiales; Linaceae.